AUUGAACGCUGGCGGCAUGCCUUACACAUGCAAGUCGAACGGCAGCACGGGAGCUUGCUCCUGGUGGCGAGUGGCGAACGGGUGAGUAAAGUAUCGGAACAUGCCCUGAAGUGGGGGAUAACGUAGCGAAAGUUACGCUAAUACCGCAUAUUCUGUGAGCAGGAAAGCAGGGGAUCGCAAGACCUUGCGCUUUAGGAGUGGCCGAUAUCGGAUUAGCUAGUUGGUGAGGUAAAGGCUCACCAAGGCGACGAUCCGUAGCGGGUCUGAGAGGAUGAUCCGCCACACUGGGACUGAGACACGGCCCAGACUCCUACGGGAGGCAGCAGUGGGGAAUUUUGGACAAUGGGCGCAAGCCUGAUCCAGCCAUGCCGCGUGAGUGAAGAAGGCC
This 388-nucleotide ribosomal RNA is filed under the name uncultured bacterium. RNAcentral's name for it is "bacterial SSU rRNA". It matches the Rfam family "Bacterial small subunit ribosomal RNA", at positions 30 to 416 of the family's 1533-position model. The record is from RNAcentral.